This 72-nucleotide transfer RNA is filed under the name Marmota monax (woodchuck). Its description in RNAcentral is "tRNA.Ala". The record is from RNAcentral. Lineage: Eukaryota; Metazoa; Chordata; Mammalia; Rodentia; Sciuridae.
AUGGGUGGGGCUCAGUGGUAAAGUGCCUGCCUAGCCUGCUCAAAGCCCUGGGUUCCAACCCCAGCACUCAGA